GAUGAAGAACGCAGCGAAAUGCGAUAAGUAAUGUGAAUUGCAGAAUUCAGUGGAUCAUCGAAUCUUUGAACGCACAUUGCGCCCCUUGGUAUUCCGAGGGGCAUGCCUGUUCGAGCGUCAUUAUAACCCUCAAGCUCAGCUUGGUGUUGGGGCCUGCUGCACUGGCAGCCCUUAAAAUCAGUGGCGGCGCCAUCUGGCUCUAAGCGUAGUAAUUCUUCUCGCUAUGGAGUCCUGGUGGAUGCUUGCCAUCAACCCCCAAUUUUUCUAUGGUUGACCUCGGAUCAGGUAGGGAUACCCGCUGAACUUAAGCAUAUCAAUAAGCGGAGGA
Molecule: unclassified non-coding RNA, 328 nt
Filed under: soil metagenome
Description: partial contains 5.8S ribosomal RNA, internal transcribed spacer 2, and large subunit ribosomal RNA
Rfam family: 5.8S ribosomal RNA (bases 1-120)
Source: RNAcentral